CCAGACAGCCAGGAUGUUGGCUUAGAAGCAGCCAUCAUUUAAAGAAAGCGUAAUAGCUCACUGGUCGAGUCGGCCUGCGCGGAAGAUGUAACGGGGCUAAACCAUGCACCGAAGCUGCGGCAGCGACACUAUGUGUUGUUGGGUAGGGGAGCGUUCUGUAAGCCUGUGAAGGUGUCUCGUGAGGGAUGCUGGAGGUAUCAGAAGUGCGAAUGCUGACAUAAGUAACGAUAAAGCGGGUGAAAAGCCCGCUCGCCGGAAGACCAA
RNAcentral lists this ribosomal RNA (264 nucleotides) under Salmonella enterica subsp. enterica serovar Goldcoast. Its description in RNAcentral is "partial 23S ribosomal RNA". It matches the Rfam family "Bacterial large subunit ribosomal RNA", at positions 1085 to 1348 of the family's 2925-position model. The record is from RNAcentral. Lineage: Bacteria; Pseudomonadati; Pseudomonadota; Gammaproteobacteria; Enterobacterales; Enterobacteriaceae.